UACGUAGGGUCCAAGCGUUGUCCGGAUUUAUUGGGCGUAAAGAGCUCGUAGGCGGUUCGGUAAGUCGGAUGUGAAAACUCAGGGCUCAACCCGGAGACGCCAUCCGAUACUGCUGUGACUUGAGUCUGGUAGGGGAACACGGAAUUCCUGGUGUAGCGGUGAAAUGCGCAGAUAUCAGGAGGAACACCGAUGGCGAAGGCAGUGUUCUGAGCCAGUACUGACGCUGAGGAGCGAAAGCGUGGGGAGCGAACAGG
RNAcentral lists this ribosomal RNA (254 nucleotides) under uncultured bacterium. Its description in RNAcentral is "partial 16S ribosomal RNA". It matches the Rfam family "Bacterial small subunit ribosomal RNA", at positions 524 to 776 of the family's 1533-position model. The record is from RNAcentral.